Molecule: transfer RNA, 70 nt
Filed under: Dipodomys ordii (Ord's kangaroo rat)
Lineage: Eukaryota; Metazoa; Chordata; Mammalia; Rodentia; Heteromyidae
Rfam family: tRNA
About the family: Transfer RNA (tRNA) molecules are approximately 80 nucleotides in length. Their secondary structure includes four short double-helical elements and three loops (D, anti-codon, and T loops). Further hydrogen bonds mediate the characteristic L-shaped molecular structure. tRNAs have two regions of fundamental functional importance: the anti-codon, which is responsible for specific mRNA codon recognition, and the 3' end, to which the tRNAs corresponding amino acid is attached (by aminoacyl-tRNA synthetases). tRNAs cope with the degeneracy of the genetic code in two manners: having more than one tRNA (with a specific anti-codon) for a particular amino acid; and 'wobble' base-pairing, i.e. permitting non-standard base-pairing at the 3rd anti-codon position.
Source: Rfam by way of RNAcentral
GGGAAGGUGAUUCAGUGGUAGAGUGCUUGUCUUGCAUGCAUGAGGCCCUGGGUUCCAUUCCUCAGCCCCA